GACGAACGCUGGCGGCGUNCUUAUACAUGCNAGUCGAGCGGACAGAUGGAGCUUGCUCCCUGAUGUUAGCGGCGGACGGGUGAGUAACACGUGGGUAACCUGCCUGUAAGACUGGGAUAACUUCCGGGAAACCGGGGCUAAUACCGGAUGCUUGUUUGAACCGCAUGGUUCAAACAUAAAAGGUGGCUUCGGCUACCACUUACAGAUGGACCCGCGGCGCAUUAGCUAGUUGGUGAGGUAAUGGCUCACCAAGGCAACGAUGCGUAGCCGACCUGAGAGGGUGAUCGGCCACACUGGGACUGAGACACGGCCCAGACUCCUACGGGAGGCAGCAGUAGGGAAUCUUCCGCAAUGGACGAAAGUCUGACGGAGCAACGCCGCGUGAGUGAUGAAGGUUUUCGGAUCGUAAAGCUCUGUUGUUAGGGAAGAACAAGUACCGUUCGAAUAGGGCGGUACCUUGACGGUACCUAACCAGAAAGCCACGGCUAACUACGUGCCAGCAGCCGCGGUAAUACGUAGGUGGCAAGCGUUGUCCGGAAUUAUUGGGCGUAAAGGGCUCGCAGGCGGUUUCUUAAGUCUGAUGUGAAAGCCCCCGGCUCAACCGGGGAGGGUCAUUGGAAACUGGGGAACUUGAGUGCAGAAGAGGAGAGUGGAAUUCCACGUGUAGCGGUGAAAAUGCGUAAAGAUGUGGAGGAACACCCAGUGGCGAAGGCGACUCUCUGGUCUGUAACUGACNCUGAGGANCGAAAGCGUGGGGGAGCGAACAGGAUUA
Molecule: ribosomal RNA, 772 nt
Filed under: Bacillus spizizenii
Lineage: Bacteria; Bacillati; Bacillota; Bacilli; Caryophanales; Bacillaceae
Description: bacterial SSU rRNA
Rfam family: Bacterial small subunit ribosomal RNA
Source: RNAcentral